AGAUUUUGCUGUGGGGCAGUCCUGGGCUGGGUUGGGAAGUCUUCAGACGAGCUCGCCGAAGCCCCCGGAUGGAAAAGUAGCGGCUGGACCUCAAUCGAGCUCUUCGGCUGAGAAAACGACGACCUCAGAUUACGAAUUGUUUCGAGACCCGCGCCUUGAUUGCCCCAAUUUUCUGGCUGGGAGGGUUCCUUGUGCCUGUACUGAUGAGGACGACGACGAGGGAGGGAGCCGAAGCAAGAGGGCCAAGGUGUCUGCUCGUUGCCAGGUCCCCGCUUGCGGAGCUGAUUUGGCUGGUCUCAAGGGUUACCAUCAGCGGCACCGGGUGUGUCUCCAGUGUGCAAAUUCGACCACAGUGAUUUUGCG
This 363-nucleotide long non-coding RNA is filed under the name Physcomitrium patens. RNAcentral describes it as "long non-coding RNA (PPAT_LNC002399)". The record is from RNAcentral. Lineage: Eukaryota; Viridiplantae; Streptophyta; Bryopsida; Funariales; Funariaceae.